UACGAAGGGGGCUAGCGUUGUUCGGAAUUACUGGGCGUAAAGCGCACGUAGGCGGAUAUUUAAGUCAGGGGUGAAAUCCCGGGGCUCAACCCCGGAACUGCCUUUGAUACUGGGUAUCUAGAGUAUGGUAGAGGUAAGUGGAAUUCCGAGUGUAGAGGUGAAAUUCGUAGAUAUUCGGAGGAACACCAGUGGCGAAGGCGGCUUACUGGACCAUUACUGACGCUGAGGCGCGAAAGCGUGGGGAGCAAACAGG
RNAcentral lists this ribosomal RNA (253 nucleotides) under uncultured bacterium. RNAcentral describes it as "partial 16S ribosomal RNA". It matches the Rfam family "Bacterial small subunit ribosomal RNA", at positions 524 to 776 of the family's 1533-position model. The record is from RNAcentral.